AAAAAAAAAAAAAAAAAAAAAAAAAAAAAAAAAGAAAAGUCCCAGCUGGCUUUUGGCAUAAGACACAGUGCCGUAAUUAAUGUGAAAGCCUUGAUUACUUUUUUUCAAUCCCCCAACUUUGGCUCUUCUCAAAACAUGUGAGUCCCGGAGGGUUCUGCUCCAUGCUGACGUGGGCUGUGCUGCACCAGAGAUCCUGCACCUCUCUGCCUCAUUACUUCCUCUUUUGAAGGCUGACCACCAUCGGAGGCAAGCUCGCAUCGAUUGUGCAGCUCUGGCCACUGGAUUCUGGGCACGGAGCCCCAAUGCUGUGCCCCUGAGGGUUACUCUCCUGGUUUUAUUUUUUUCCCUUUUUUAAAAAGGCAAACCACCAUCUGCACGCACUGCUUCGGCAC
Long non-coding RNA from Lagopus leucura (white-tailed ptarmigan), 392 nucleotides. RefSeq lists it as uncharacterized. The transcript has 3 exons. The record is from RefSeq and is a predicted model, not a curated record. NCBI's taxonomy places the organism in Eukaryota, Metazoa, Chordata, Aves, Galliformes, Phasianidae.